RNAcentral lists this ribosomal RNA (856 nucleotides) under uncultured bacterium. RNAcentral's name for it is "bacterial SSU rRNA". It matches the Rfam family "Bacterial small subunit ribosomal RNA", at positions 8 to 854 of the family's 1533-position model. The record is from RNAcentral.
AGAGUUUGAUCAUGGCUCAGGAUGAACGCUAGCUACAGGCUUAACACAUGCAAGUCGAGGGGAAACGAUAGAGAAAGCUUGCUUUUUCUAGGCGUCGACCGGCGCACGGGUGAGUAACGCGUAUCCAACCUGCCCACCACUUGGGGAUAACCUUGCGAAAGUAAGACUAAUACCCAAUGACGUCUCUAGAAGACAUCUGAAAGGGAUUAAAGAUUUAUCGGUGAUGGAUGGGGAUGCGUCUGAUUAGCUUGUUGGCGGGGUAACGGCCCACCAAGGCUACGAUCAGUAGGGGUUCUGAGAGGAAGGUCCCCCACAUUGGAACUGAGACACGGUCCAAACUCCUACGGGAGGCAGUAGUGAGGAAUAUUGGUCAAUGGGCGAGAGCCUGAACCAGCCAAGUAGCGUGCAGGAUGACGGCCCUAUGGGUUGUAAACUGCUUUUAUAAGGGAAUAAAGUGAGCCUCGUGAGGCUUUUUGCAUGUACCUUAUGAAUAAGGACCGGCUAAUUCCGUGCCAGCAGCCGCGGUAAUACGGAAGGUCCGGGCGUUAUCCGGAUUUAUUGGGUUUAAAGGGAGCGUAGGCCGGAAAUUAAGCGUGUUGUGAAAUGUAGGUGCUCAACAUCUGCACUGCAGCGCGAACUGGUUUCCUUGAGUACGCACAAAGUGGGCGGAAUUCGUGGUGUAGCGGUGAAAUGCUUAGAUAUCACGAAGAACUCCGAUUACGAAGGCAGCUCACUGGAGCGCAACUGACGCUGAAGCUCGAAAGUGCGGGUAUCGAACAGGAUUAGAUACCCUGGUAGUCCGCACGGUAAACGAUGGAUGCCCGCUGUUGGUCUGAAUAGGUCAGCGGCCAAGCGA